Non-coding RNA from Eubacterium ruminantium, 628 nucleotides. NCBI's taxonomy places the organism in Bacteria, Bacillati, Bacillota, Clostridia, Eubacteriales, Eubacteriaceae. The record is from Rfam.
AUCGGAGGCGCUCAAAGGUUCCCUCAGAAUGGUCGGAAACCAUUCGAAGAGUGCAAAGGCAGAAGGGAGCUUGACUGUGACACCGACGGGUGGAACAGAUACGAAAGUAGGACUUAGUGAUCCGGUGGUAUAAAGUGGGAUUGCCAUCGCUCAACGGAUAAAAGCUACCCUGGGGAUAACAGGCUUAUCACUCCCAAGAGUUCACAUCGACGGAGUGGUUUGGCACCUCGAUGUCGGCUCAUCGCAUCCUGGAGCUGUAGCAGGUUCCAAGGGUUGGGCUGUUCGCCCAUUAAAGCGGUACGCGAGCUGGGUUCAGAACGUCGUGAGACAGUUCGGUCCCUAUCCGGCGCGGGCGGAGGAUAUUUGAGAGGAGCUGUCCUUAGUACGAGAGGACCGGGAUGGACGGACCGCUGGUGUACCAGUUGCAUUACCAAGUGCAGAGCUGGGUAGCCAAGUCCGGAAAGGAUAAACGCUGAAGGCAUCUAAGCGUGAAGCCAACCUCAAGAUAAGAUAUCCCACUCCCCUGAGGAGUUAAGACCCCUUGAAGACUACGAGGUUGAUAGGCACCGAGUGUAAGUGUGGUAACACAUUCAGCUGAGGUGUACUAAUAGGUCGAGGGCUUAUUCAA